This 74-nucleotide transfer RNA is filed under the name Lactobacillus helveticus. RNAcentral's name for it is "tRNA-Arg". It matches the Rfam family "tRNA". From Rfam's summary of the family: Transfer RNA (tRNA) molecules are approximately 80 nucleotides in length. Their secondary structure includes four short double-helical elements and three loops (D, anti-codon, and T loops). Lineage: Bacteria; Bacillati; Bacillota; Bacilli; Lactobacillales; Lactobacillaceae. The record is from RNAcentral.
GAACCUAGUAGUUUAAUUAGAGAAAACAUGACAUUCUAAGUCAGCAAUGAUGGUGCAAGUCCAUCCUAGGUUUU